This 301-nucleotide ribosomal RNA is filed under the name uncultured bacterium. RNAcentral describes it as "partial 16S ribosomal RNA". It matches the Rfam family "Bacterial small subunit ribosomal RNA", at positions 509 to 807 of the family's 1533-position model. The record is from RNAcentral.
CAGUCGCCACGGUAAUACGGAGGGUGCGAGCGUUAAUCGGAAUUACUGGGCGUAAAGCGUACGCAGGCGGUUUGUUAAGUCAGAUGUGAAAUCCCCGAGCUUAACUCGGGAACUGCAUUUGAAACUGGCAAGCUAGAGUCUUGUAGAGGGGGGUAGAAUUCCAGGUGUAGCGGUGAAAUGCGUAGAGAUCUGGAGGAAUACCGGUGGCGAAGGCGGCCCCCUGGACAAAGACUGACGCUCAGGUGCGAAAGCGUGGGGAGCAAACAGGAUUAGAUACCCCGGUAGUCCCUGUCUCUUAUAC